GCCAUUCCCAGCUAUUCUUUAUUUGGUUUCAGCCCAUGCGAGAGCCAGGAAGUUAAAAAGCAAGGGAAGGGUGUGCUAGCCAAGACGAGUCUCCACUGUUAGCCAAAACGCUAAUCUCUUCUAAGCCCUUACCCUGCUAACUCUUUGAAAGAAAGUAAACCUCUUUCAGACUUUUAUAUAGGAGAAAGAUGAAUUGUCUCAUCCCAAUGGAUAAGGCCUAUUCCCUGCUCGUAAAUUAACGGUUUAAGUUCCUUUAUUUCUUCUGCUUCUGACUGUCACAAGCACAAGCCAUUCUUCCACUCUAUGAUUAGGAUAUGAUUCACUUUCAAACUGAACAGGGCAUUCUAUCUGAUCUUCCGAAAGAUCUCCUUCUUGCUAACAUUCGGAAAAGGAAGAGCAUAUUCUAACCCGCGUAGAAUGAAGACUUGUCUUACCGCAUACCAGUUGCAUGUGGGAAGACCAGAAGCGGGGUGAAGAAUAAAUAAUGGGCGGACGAUCACAUCGUCCGAUAGCUAAAUGGAUGGUACUUGGCUAACCCGAAUCUCUUCACUCCUCAUCUCACUCACUUGAAGACCGACCGAAUGUGGACAUUAGCAGCGCGUAGUCCUUCACCACAGAACUCCCUCAGCUUACUUGCUUCCUUAAGCCAAAAGCACCAAGAGUAGCUACUCCGACAAGAGCAGAAAAGGCACCAACAUCGGUGACUAGUAGGGAUUCCACCAGUUCCAGUUCAGGCAUCAUCCUAAUCAUCAGAUAGGGAAGCCGGGAUCCUCUACUUAAUUCCCGGAAGUGAAAGAACUCUCCUUUAUUUCCAUUUUUUAGGAAGUUGCUUGCUCACUCACCUCACUUUAUUUUUAGUUCGAAAAGAGCUAAUUCGAAUCUCGAUCUCUGGAAUCGAAACCAAGACCAACGAGCCCCGUACUCCUAAGUUGGCAAGCGAAAGACUUACGACUUUGAAUUGAGGUAGAAUCCUAAGGAAGCUCUUUCAAGUCCUCUGGGCACAAAGGAACUACACACUAAAUCAGUGUAUCUCUUUAGUGAUCAGUCUUUUCUGCUCUUAAUAGAGAGCGCAGUUCCAGCAUCAUCCUAAUCAGACUAUUGCUCGUACCUAAUCACUGCUUAAACCCUCGGUGAAACUGGCUUAAGCCCGACUACAGAGCC
Non-coding RNA from Lupinus albus (white lupine), 1161 nucleotides. NCBI's taxonomy places the organism in Eukaryota, Viridiplantae, Streptophyta, Magnoliopsida, Fabales, Fabaceae. The record is from the annotation of a GenBank genome assembly.